Molecule: ribosomal RNA, 379 nt
Filed under: Micrococcineae bacterium BF.83
Lineage: Bacteria; Bacillati; Actinomycetota; Actinomycetes; Micrococcales
Description: bacterial SSU rRNA
Rfam family: Bacterial small subunit ribosomal RNA
Source: RNAcentral
GGGGGAUUAGUGGCGAACGGGUGAGUAACACGUGAGUAACCUGCCCUUAACUCUGGGAUAAGCCUGGGAAACUGGGUCUAAUACCGGAUAUGACUCCUCAUCGCAUGGUGGGGGGUGGAAAGCUUUAUUGUGGUUUUGGAUGGACUCGCGGCCUAUCAGCUUGUUGGUGAGGUAAUGGCUCACCAAGGCGACGACGGGUAGCCGGCCUGAGAGGGUGACCGGCCACACUGGGACUGAGACACGGCCCAGACUCCUACGGGAGGCAGCAGUGGGGAAUAUUGCACAAUGGGCGAAAGCCUGAUGCAGCGACGCCGCGUGAGGGAUGACGGCCUUCGGGUUGUAAACCUCUUUCAGUAGGGAAGAAGCGAAAGUGACGGUA